This 282-nucleotide long non-coding RNA is filed under the name Citrus maxima (pomelo). Its description in RNAcentral is "long non-coding RNA (CMAX_LNC004053)". Lineage: Eukaryota; Viridiplantae; Streptophyta; Magnoliopsida; Sapindales; Rutaceae. The record is from RNAcentral.
UUUAUUGAUGAUUCAGGAAGAUAUUACAGAGCAAUUAUAAGGAAGAUUACAAGGAAUAAGAUGAAACUUUCUCUCUCUAGAAUGCUCUCAGAUUGGUUAUGAAACCGCUUCGAUGAUCAGCUUAUAUAACAAAUGAGAACAAACCCAGAUUGCACCAGAUUCAGCCAUGUCGAUAACAACUUGUUAACUAACUUGAUUCUUCCCUCGCGCGCCUCAUCACAUUGCAUCACUUAACCUCAGCUCAAAACGUCUUCAUCUCAUACUUUGGAAUCUUAAUUGAGA